CGCCUCCUUAGCGGGGGAUAACUAUUGGAAACGAUAGCUAAUACCGCAUAAAAGUACGAUAUCGCAUGAUGUUGACUUGAAAGGUGCAAUUGCAUCACUAAGAGAUGGACCUGCGUUGUAUUAGCUAGUUGGUGAGGUAACGGCUCACCAAGGCGACGAUACAUAGCCGACCUGAGAGGGUGAUCGGCCACACUGGGACUGAGACACGGCCCAG
This 214-nucleotide ribosomal RNA is filed under the name uncultured bacterium. RNAcentral describes it as "partial 16S ribosomal RNA". It matches the Rfam family "Bacterial small subunit ribosomal RNA", at positions 126 to 334 of the family's 1533-position model. The record is from RNAcentral.